GCCGAGGUGGCGGAACGGCAGACGCGCGAGUUCGAGGGGCUCGUGCCCGCAAGGGCGUCGGGGUUCAAGUCCCCGCCUCGGCA
RNAcentral lists this transfer RNA (83 nucleotides) under Chloroflexi bacterium 13_1_40CM_4_68_4. Its description in RNAcentral is "tRNA-Leu". It matches the Rfam family "tRNA". Rfam says of the family: Transfer RNA (tRNA) molecules are approximately 80 nucleotides in length. Their secondary structure includes four short double-helical elements and three loops (D, anti-codon, and T loops). The record is from RNAcentral. RNAcentral also lists the same sequence under 2 other names. Lineage: Bacteria; Bacillati; Chloroflexota.